GGGAUCGAAGAUGAUUAGAUACCAUCGUAGUCUUAACCAUAAACUAUGCCGACUGAGGAUUCUUGAAAUUUGUAAAUGAAUUUAAGAGCACUCCAUGAGAAAUCAAAGUCUUUGGGUUCCGGGGGGAGUAUGGUCGCAAGUCUGAAACUUAAAGGAAUUGACGGAAGGGCACACCAGGAGUGGAGCCUGCGGCUUAAUUUGACUCAACACGGGGAAACUUACCAGGUCCAGACAAAGUAAGGAUUGACAGAUUGAGAGCUCUUUCUUGAUUCUUUGGGUGGUGGUGCAUGGCCGUUCUUAGUUGGUGGAGUGAUUUGUCUGGUUAAUUCCGAUAACGAACGAGACCCCAACCUGCUAACUAGACUAGAGUAUUUCACGAUACUUUAGCGCUUCUUAGAGGGACAUUUCGGAUCUACCGGAAGGAAGUUCGUG
This 432-nucleotide ribosomal RNA is filed under the name Thraustochytriidae sp. Its description in RNAcentral is "SSU rRNA". It matches the Rfam family "Eukaryotic small subunit ribosomal RNA", at positions 994 to 1449 of the family's 1831-position model. Lineage: Eukaryota; Bigyra; Thraustochytrida; Thraustochytriidae. The record is from RNAcentral.